AUGUUACAUGAUAAAGAUGAGGUCAAUCCAAGCUCAAGUGACAAUAGAUGUUUCGCUGCAAUUGGGAUUUAUGGCAUUUCAGGGUCUGGGAAGACUACCCUCGCACAACAUCUUUGCAAGUCUAAGAAAGAUAAUGAUUAUUUCGACCUUGUUAUGUGGAUUCAUGUUUCUCAGAGCAUCUCCAGCCGCGCCCCCAACAAGGUCCCCCAGGCGAUUUUUCGGCCGCCGGCGCUAAAAAAUCGGCCCAGUCACGCUCCCAUGGGCCCAUUUUUCGCCGGCUCGGGCCGAAAUUGGUACCGGCGGACCCAACCCGAACCCGGCGCGCUGGGGGGCGCUUGGGAGCGCCGGGCGAAUAUUUUUUGGCGCGAAAGCGCCGUGGGCCAGCCGCGUCAGCGACUCGACUCUCUUCUCGCCGCUUCGUCGUCCUCAUCGCCUCGUUUCCCGCGGCGAAUCAAUGCCAAAGCUGCGCGCGCUGCCGCGCCGGUCAGCCUUCAUUGA
Molecule: ribosomal RNA, 498 nt
Filed under: Triticum aestivum (bread wheat)
Lineage: Eukaryota; Viridiplantae; Streptophyta; Magnoliopsida; Poales; Poaceae
Description: partial small subunit ribosomal RNA
Source: RNAcentral